Molecule: long non-coding RNA, 805 nt
Organism: Apis cerana (Asiatic honeybee)
Lineage: Eukaryota; Metazoa; Arthropoda; Insecta; Hymenoptera; Apidae
Source: RefSeq, a predicted model, not a curated record
CCCGCGCGCGCACGACGGUCCACGAACGAAUAAUCGCGAUGUGGUGUAACGCGGCAAAAUCUCUUUCAAAUUAGUCAAGUUAACACGCAUUUGCGAAUUUGUUAGAAAUUUACACACAUCCAUCGUUCAAGACCUAUCAUUUUAAGUCAAAGAAAAUUGAAAGCAACUCGACUUCAUUUAAAGUUUGAAAAAAUAUUUGAAAACAAGUGACAAGUUUAUAUUGAUAAAGUGCUUUUAAGAUACUUGAAUAUCAUGGAAUUUGGGCAAUCUGAGGUUAUCAUAGAUCGAUGACAGGCUGCAGUUGAACGCGCCUGUUCACGGACGCUUAUGGUCGUAACCGACAAAAAGGCUUGGUCGUCACGCGCAAAACGACUCGUCUCAGUGCAUCGAUGCUUAUCGCGAUUGGUCAAAUAUUUCCGGCCGUUCGAGCCGGCCAUUCGCCGAUUCGAUUUCCCGGAUUCCAUGUAUGAACGGCACACGAUAACGCGGUGCUCGUUUAGAAGUGUCCUUCGGUUUACGUAACCUACAAUUUUACACAUGUUCGUGUCUCUCCGUUCUUCUUCGAUAAAUAUUGUUUCUAACGAGGACGUGACAUUAUGUUUCUCGAGCGAUCAACGAACCGAUUCUGAAUCGUAGAUUUAAUAAAUUUCGAUUAUAAUAGAUUGAAAAAAUUUUCAAUCAAGGAUUGAGCAAUAUCUUUAAUAUUUGGAAUGAUUAAAUUAUAACGUUCAGGAAAAUAUCAUAUUUAAUAUGUAAUUGGUUAAUUUACCGCUUAAAAACUAUAAUAAUUAUUUUUAUGAUACUA